RNAcentral lists this ribosomal RNA (434 nucleotides) under uncultured bacterium. RNAcentral describes it as "partial 16S ribosomal RNA". It matches the Rfam family "Bacterial small subunit ribosomal RNA", at positions 29 to 507 of the family's 1533-position model. The record is from RNAcentral.
AGCGAACGCUGGCGGCAGGCCUAACACAUGCAAGUCGAACGAACCUUUCGGGGUUAGUGGCGGACGGGGGAGUAACACGUGGGAACGUGCCUUUAGGUUCGGAAUAACUCAGGGAAACUUGUGCUAAUACCGAAUGUGCCCUUCGGGGGAAAGAUUAAUCGCCUUUAGAGCGGCCCGCGUCUGAUUAGCUAGGUGGUUGAGGUAAUGGCUCACCAAGGCUAGGAUGAGUAGCUGGUCUGAGAGGAUGAUCAGCCACAUUGGGACUGAGACACGGCCCAAACUCCUACGCGAGGCAGCAGUGGGGAAUCUUGCGCAAUGGGCGAAAGCCUGACGCAGCCAUGCCGCGUGAAUGAUGAAGGUCUUAGGAUUGUAAAAUUCUUUCACCGGGGACGAUAAUGACGGUACCCGGAGAAGAAGCCCCGGCUAACUUCGUG